This 507-nucleotide ribosomal RNA is filed under the name uncultured bacterium. RNAcentral's name for it is "bacterial SSU rRNA". It matches the Rfam family "Bacterial small subunit ribosomal RNA", at positions 28 to 526 of the family's 1533-position model. The record is from RNAcentral.
GACGAACGCUGGCGGCGUGGAUUAGGCAUGCAAGUCGAACGGUAUCAUCCUUUCGGGGGUGAGAGAGUGGCGAACUGGUGAGUAACACGUAGGUUAUCUACCCUCAAGACGGGGACAACCCAGGGAAACUUGGGCUAAUACCGGAUGUGAGCAACUUUUAGUUGUUUGAAAGGUGGCGUAAGCUGUCGCUUGGGGAUGAGCCUGCGUCCUAUUAGUUAGUUGGUGAGGUAACGGCUCACCUAGGCAAUGAUAGGUAGGCGGCCUUAACGGGUGGUCGCCCACACUGGGAUUGAGAUACGGCCCAGACUCCUACGGGAGGCAGCAGUCGAGAAUAGUCUACAAUGGUCGGAAGACUGAUAGUGCGACGCCGCGUGAACGAUGAAUCCCUUCGGGGUGUAAAGUUCUUUUAUAUGUGAGCAGUGCUUCUUAUAUUAACAGUAUGGGGAGAGAGAUAUUAGCAUAUGAAUAAGCAACGGCUAACUCCGUGCCCAGCAGCCGCGGUAAACU